GCUUACCAUGCGAGUCGAACGGUCCUUCGGGACAGUGGCGGACGGGUGAGUAACACGUGGGAACGUGCCCUUAGCUUCGGAACAACCCAGGGAAACUUGGGCUAAUACCGGAUAAGCCCUUCGGGGGAAAGAUUUAUCGGCUUUGGAGCGGCCCGCGUCUGAUUAGCUAGUUGGUGGGGUAAUGGCCUACCAAGGCGACGAUCAGUAGCUGGUCUGAGAGGAUGACCAGCCACAUUGGGACUGAGACACGGCCCAAACUCCUACGGGAGGCAGCAGUGGGGAAUCUUGCGCAAUGGGCGAAAGCCUGACGCAGCCAUGCCGCGUGGAUGAUGAAGGUCUUAGGAUUGUAAAAUCCUUUCAGCGGGGACGAUAAUGACGGUACCCGCAGAAGAAGCCCCGGCUAACUUCGUGCCAGCAGCCGCGGUAAUACGAAGGGGGCUAGCGUUGCUCGGAAUUACUGGGCGUAAAGGGAGCGUAGGCGGGUCGUUUAGUCAGAGGUGAAAUCCCGGGGCUCAACCUCGGAACUGCCUUUGAUACUGGCGACCUUGAGUAUGGGAGAGGUGAGUGGAACUCCGAGUGUAGAGGUGAAAUUCGUAGAUAUUCGGAAGAACACCAGUGGCGAAGGCGACUCACUGGCCCAUUACUGACGCUGAGGCUCGAAAGCGUGGGGAGCAAACAGGAUUAGAUACCCUGGUAGUCCACGCUGUAAACGAUGAGAGCUAGUUGUCGGCACGCAUGCGUGUCGGUGACGCAGCUAACGCAUUAAGCUCUCCGCCUGGGGAGUACGUCGCAGA
RNAcentral lists this ribosomal RNA (794 nucleotides) under Caulobacteraceae bacterium. RNAcentral's name for it is "bacterial SSU rRNA". It matches the Rfam family "Bacterial small subunit ribosomal RNA", at positions 46 to 891 of the family's 1533-position model. Lineage: Bacteria; Pseudomonadati; Pseudomonadota; Alphaproteobacteria; Caulobacterales; Caulobacteraceae. The record is from RNAcentral.